RNAcentral lists this ribosomal RNA (510 nucleotides) under Fusarium solani. Its description in RNAcentral is "eukaryotic LSU rRNA". The stretch from base 125 to 278 matches the Rfam family "5.8S ribosomal RNA". Lineage: Eukaryota; Fungi; Ascomycota; Sordariomycetes; Hypocreales; Nectriaceae. The record is from RNAcentral.
GUGACAUACCUAAACGUUGCUUCGGCGGGAACAGACGGCCCCGUGAAACGGGCCGCCCCCGCCAGAGGACCCCUAACUCUGUUUCUAUAAUGUUUCUUCUGAGUAAAACAAGCAAAUAAAUUAAAACUUUCAACAACGGAUCUCUUGGCUCUGGCAUCGAUGAAGAACGCAGCGAAAUGCGAUAAGUAAUGUGAAUUGCAGAAUUCAGUGAAUCAUCGAAUCUUUGAACGCACAUUGCGCCCGCCAGUAUUCUGGCGGGCAUGCCUGUUCGAGCGUCAUUACAACCCUCAGGCCCCCGGGCCUGGCGUUGGGGAUCGGCGGAGCCCCCCGUGGGCACACGCCGUCCCCCAAAUACAGUGGCGGUCCCGCCGCAGCUUCCAUCGCGUAGUAGCUAACACCUCGCGACUGGAGAGCGGCGCGGCCACGCCGUAAAACACCCAACUCUUCUGAAGUUGACCUCGAAUCAGGUAGGAAUACCCGCUGAACUUAAGCAUAUCAAUAAGCGGAGGA